Ipomoea nil (Japanese morning glory) is the source of this 278-nucleotide long non-coding RNA. RefSeq lists it as uncharacterized. The record is from RefSeq and is a predicted model, not a curated record. The transcript is spliced from 3 exons. Lineage: Eukaryota; Viridiplantae; Streptophyta; Magnoliopsida; Solanales; Convolvulaceae.
GCACCAAUUUAUCUGACAUCACGUAUGAAGCUUGGAAUCAGCUUGUUGGAAAAUCUAUUGUACAAACAGCCUGUACAACAGCACCAAGUUCUACUGAAGGUCCAACAUUGAGUUCUUUCUUUUCUCACACCUCUUUUGCAUACAGAGCAUGGACAUCUAUCGUCUGUAUGAACUUAACACUGUCUCUUCAAACAUUAUGAGGAUUGAUGGAGUCCACCACGGGAAACAUGGAAAGAAAGGCUCUGUAGUUUUCUGGCUUCAGGUUCAGCAAGCUCGUG